GCAACAAUAGUACAGAGGUUAGUAUUGCCCUUUCCCAUGACCCUUUUGUGUACGGGAUUAGGGGUAGACCUGGGUUCGAAUCCCGGUUGUUGCA
This 94-nucleotide transfer RNA is filed under the name Tilletia horrida. RNAcentral describes it as "tRNA-Gly". It matches the Rfam family "tRNA". Rfam says of the family: Transfer RNA (tRNA) molecules are approximately 80 nucleotides in length. Their secondary structure includes four short double-helical elements and three loops (D, anti-codon, and T loops). Lineage: Eukaryota; Fungi; Basidiomycota; Exobasidiomycetes; Tilletiales; Tilletiaceae. The record is from RNAcentral.